Long non-coding RNA from Apis cerana (Asiatic honeybee), 1744 nucleotides. RefSeq lists it as uncharacterized. The record is from RefSeq and is a predicted model, not a curated record. NCBI's taxonomy places the organism in Eukaryota, Metazoa, Arthropoda, Insecta, Hymenoptera, Apidae.
UAUCAUUCGAAAUAAUGCAAGAUGGAAUAAAUGAUGUUGCCCAUUGAAUUAUUUCUCUGUUUUGUGUAAAGCUCUAACCACGUUUAAUCGAACCGCAUGAUCAAAUAUAUCUACGAUUCCGCGCAAGGAACUGCCACUGAAAUAGCACUGUCCCGCAAAUACACACCAAUGUUUGGUAUAUAUAUUGUAUAUUGGUGCCGGUGCAAAGUUUUCGCGAAUCAAAAUAGCGUUCGGUUUUACGCGAGGCUGACAGCACUUCGUCACGUGCUUCGUUUAAUGGAACUCGCUCUAAGAGUUAUUUCAAACUUAUGUGUCAUGCAUUCUAGUUGCGCACAAAUAUAACUCCGUGCACCGCGCGUGUGCUGGUGCACGACCGUACAGGGGAAAACGUGUCCGAUCGGCGACGAUUUCGCACGCGAGUUUGCGCAUUCUUCUUCAUGAGCCGAAGAAAUGAUCGGAAGUACAGGUGCUCGCAACAGGCGGCUUGGACGAGUCAAAAGAAGGUGUGCCCGAAUUGCGGCAUGGCGAGUAUAUACCAUCGAUACUCGGAGAGAGAACGAUACUCGACAAAGGCACGUGGACAUACAGGUAACGAUGCAUCCGUCUGUUGGCAGUAUAGGCGCGUGAACACGAUUAUAGAACGUGCGAGGACGGCAGGUGAAACCCACCAAUUGCUGCUGUUUUAUCCAUGUGUCUUUAAGAACGUGAAAUAAUAAAGAAAGAUCAAUAGAAGGAUGAACAACGGGUAAGAAGGAGAAGAAUAGAUCAUCCGUUUUGGUAUCUAGAAUGACGGAUAUCCGGAUAUCCAAUUACUGAAUUCACUCAAGAGACGUUGAUAAAUAUAUAGAUAUCUGCAAAAGAUGGUUAUUCAACGAUAUUUGGCGAUCGUUUGAUGAAAAAUUGAAGAAAUAGUUAAAUCAAUUUUUCAGUAAAUCGAAGUAAAAAUAGAAUGUCAAAAAACUGUUCUAUUUUUUCCGAAAUUACAAUUUAAUAACGUUUAUUUGAAACGAGAAAAUUAUAACGAAAAUGAAGGAUUUGUUUAAUAAGCACAAACUAUAUAAAUACGUAUGAUAAUAAUAAUUCCCAAUUUAUGAUGUAUUUUGUGUACAUUAUAUAAUAAACUAAUUUGUGUAUUUACGAAAAUUACACAAGAGAUAUUAAAAACUAUCUAAUACAAAUACAAAUAAUUAUAUAUCAUAAAUUACAAAUUAUUAUCAUGUUUAUUUUUUUUUUUUUUUUUUUUGAAUUUUUGUAAUGAUUAAAUUAAAUUAAAAUAUUUUAUAUUUUAUACUGAAAAAAAUUAUAGACGUAUUAAUUUUUCAGUAUAUUCAUACAUUAGAUAAGUUAAAGAAUUUGAAAAUUUAAUAUAUAUUCAAAUAUAUAUAUUAUUUGUUAUAUUUAAUCUUUUUUAUUAUAGAUCAAUUAAAUUGAUAUUUUGAUAUUUAUUUCAAAUAAAUAAAAAAUUAUAUAUACAAUUAUAUAUACAAAAUUAUUGGAUAUAUUAAUUUUUAAUUAUAAAUCAAUGUUAUUACGAGACAAUUUAUAAAUAAUAUUAAUAAUAAAAUUUAUUUUAUAUUUAUUGUGAAUAUGGACUUAAAAUAUAAGUAUUGUAUGUGUUAAUUUUUUUAAUGAAAAUUUAUAUAAAAAGAAAAUACAACAUUUAUAACAUUACUUUAUACUUAAAAAGAAUAAAAAAUUAUAUUAAAGAUAAGAACAAAUAAAAUUAUAUAAUGUCAUAAGGAAA